This 1216-nucleotide long non-coding RNA is filed under the name Oryzias javanicus (javanese ricefish). Its description in RNAcentral is "lncRNA (ENSOJAG00000003759.1)". Lineage: Eukaryota; Metazoa; Chordata; Actinopteri; Beloniformes; Adrianichthyidae. The record is from RNAcentral.
CCCAUGCAAAUAAAAUGAGAGUGCGUACUUGUCAACAGGAAUAUGCACUUUCAGUUCUGCUGCGGUGAUUCAGUUUGGAGGCCACAUGAGGUCAGGUGAGGCAGAUGUUGGUGAGCUGCAGAAGUCCUCUGCUCCACCACCAGCACGUGCGUCACUUUUAUAAACCAGCUCAGUGGGUUCAUAAUCUGGAUGUCUGCUUGACUUCCAGGCUUUUAGAAAAUGUGUUGAGUUGUUUGGAAAAGGCAUAAGCGCCUAGAUCACGCCAAGUGCGCACCGCGCGCCUUUACGCGUGCGUGUACGCGCAGGGUGGUGCCACUAACUGUAAUUAUGUGGCAGAAAGCUCCUCCUCCGUCCAUUUUUAAUCUCUUAUAUCCGCUAAUGCUGCGGCAGACAUUUACCACAAGCAGCGGGCAGCUAACGCGGGCUAACGCGCAGGAGGUCUGAGCCGGGAUCCUGCGCGUUUGGGAAUAUUCCACCGACUUCCGGGAGACUGCUGUCCCGUCGGGAAACACCCGGACCCUGCGAGGGCUCGGCCGCAGACGGAACACCUGUGCAGACACACACGCAGGUAAAGGAACGCAGCGGGACACGUCCCGGUUCUCAUCAUAAUCCUGUCUUAUGAAUGCGUUUUUUAUUCACGCUUUUAAUUCAUGAGUUGAUCAGGUUAGUGCAGGAAUUUUCAAAUUAAAAGCAUUACAUACAUAUAAGAGCACCUGUGCAGGUAAGUGUUGGACAACUUUCUGCAGUUGAUCAGCCUUUUUCCUGCUGGUUAUUAACCUUUGACCUAACCUUUUAUUUGAAAAGCAGUUCGUGAUAACAUCAAACUGAAACAGUGACAUGAAUCUGUGAAAGUCUUAAACCAACAAAUAGUUUUUAAAAGACUCUCAGAAAUGGAGACAAACCAGUCCAACUACAGGACACACCUCUGUGGUUGCGGCUGUCUGUCCUGAGACUGUUUCCUCCUUCAGAGCAUCAGCAUGGCCGGUUCUGGGGAUACAGAGGGAUCUUUGACCCCCGUGGAUUUCAUCCAGCUGCAACAUUACAUGGAAGAAAGCACUUUGAGAGUUAAAGAUGUGAUCAAGGAGUUUCGUCCAGGAGGCCGUCUGUCCCAGCAUAGUUUUGGAGAAGUGAGUGGACAGUUUCCUAAGAGUCACGCUUUUAGAUUUAUUACACAAACAUGCUCUCAAUUAUCAAUUGUUAAAAGAGUGAAGCUCGU